CUUUUUUCAGGCAUCUUAUU
This 20-nucleotide transfer RNA is filed under the name Catomerus polymerus. RNAcentral's name for it is "partial tRNA-Ile". Lineage: Eukaryota; Metazoa; Arthropoda; Thecostraca; Balanomorpha; Catophragmidae. The record is from RNAcentral.